Long non-coding RNA from Ictalurus punctatus (channel catfish), 522 nucleotides. Lineage: Eukaryota; Metazoa; Chordata; Actinopteri; Siluriformes; Ictaluridae. The record is from Ensembl.
CUACAGGACCUUCUAUAUCGGUAGCCAGAGGGUCUGUCAUUUUUUGUAAAUGUUCAUUUUAUUUGUUUGUUUUUACACACAUGGACAUCACAACCAACCAUCAUCAAGGUUAUUAUACUUAUUAAUGGGGUGAAUUCUCCUACCUUGAGUCCAGCAUUCACGGGAUAGGUUCCUGAUCCACCAAGACCCUUUCCAGGAUAAAGUUACUGAAAAUGAAUGAUGGAAAUGUCAAUGGUAAAAUGUAUCAAUGUUCACGCUCUCAGAAGACCUGACCAGCCCUUGGCAGAGAGUGCUUUACCUUGGGUCUGAGCCUGAUCUGGUCAAUUUCAGCAUGUGUCAGCACUGUUCUUGAAACUUCACAUGGGUGCUGCAUGAACACACUCCUGACCUGCAAAGCAUGACCUUUUGAUUAAAAUGUACGUGUACAUUCUCAGUUUUCUGAAACUUUACAGCUGCAUCAGAGAUCUUGUGGUAACAUUAAAAUCUCUAUCCUAUUUCUGUGUUGUUAAUAGAUUCUGUCUC